UACGGGGGGGGCAAGCGUUGUUCGGAAUUACUGGGCGUAAAGGGCUCGUAGGCGGCCAACUAAGUCAGACGUGAAAUCCCUCGGCUUAACCGGGGAACUGCGUCUGAUACUGGAUGGCUUGAGUUCGGGAGAGGGAUGCGGAAUUCCAGGUGUAGCGGUGAAAUGCGUAGAUAUCAGGAGGAACACCGGUGGCGAAGGCGGAUCUCUGGGCCUUACCUGACGCUGAGGAGCGAAAGCAUGGGGAGCAAACAGG
Molecule: ribosomal RNA, 253 nt
Filed under: uncultured bacterium
Lineage: Bacteria
Description: partial 16S ribosomal RNA
Rfam family: Bacterial small subunit ribosomal RNA
Source: RNAcentral